This 465-nucleotide ribosomal RNA is filed under the name uncultured bacterium. Its description in RNAcentral is "partial 16S ribosomal RNA". It matches the Rfam family "Bacterial small subunit ribosomal RNA", at positions 28 to 507 of the family's 1533-position model. The record is from RNAcentral.
GACGAACGCUGGCGGCGUGCUUAACACAUGCAAGUCGAACGGAAAGGCCCUGCUUGCAGGGUACUCGAGUGGCGAACGGGUGAGUAACACGUGGGUGAUCUGCCCUGCACUUCGGGAUAAGCCUGGGAAACUGGGUCUAAUACCGGAUAGGAGCCAUUUUUAGUGUGAUGGUUGGAAAGUUUUUUCGGUGUAGGAUGAGCUCGCGGCCUAUCAGCUUGUUGGUGGGGUAAUGGCCUACCAAGGCGGCGACGGGUAGCCGGCCGGAGAGGGUGGACGGCCACAUUGGGACUGAGAUACGGCCCAGACUCCUACGGGAGGCAGCAGUGGGGAAUAUUGCACAAUGGGCGCAAGCCUGAUGCAGCGACGCCGCGUGGGGGAUGACGGCCUUCGGGUUGUAAACUCCUUUCGCUAGGGACGAAGCUUUUUGUGACGGUACCUAGAGAAGAAGCACCGGCUAACUACGUG